UCUGCUACUUCUGCGAUUUCUGUGACUUCUGCUACUUCUGCGAUUUCUGCUACUUCUGCUACUUCUGCGAUUUCUGUGACUUCUGCUACUUCUGCGAUUUCUGUGAUUCCUGCGAUUUCUGCGACUUACCACCAUAUGAGAAAGUUACAUCUGUCAACACAGAAAAUUGCAUCUCAACAAACCUGUCUUUGGCAAGUACCUGAACUACAUUUCAGUCACUCAGUAAAGUGAUAACUCAAAAUAUCAUUGUCAACAGAUCUGAAGAAAUUGCCACUGCGUCUUUAGACAGUUUUCGUCAGACGAGAGACACAGUUCUGACUCUGAUUACUGGUUGCUGUACGUAUCUAUCCACAUCAAGGCUGUUUUUGAGAGAGACUCGUGAAGAUUCAAGACAGUUCUUAGAGGAUUUGCAGUUUAAAAGUGAAAUAAUUGUGAAAUAAGUGUGUGAAUGAUUACACUGUGUUUUAUUGAAGUUGUUGUGCGAUU
Molecule: long non-coding RNA, 486 nt
Organism: Schistocerca cancellata (South American locust)
Lineage: Eukaryota; Metazoa; Arthropoda; Insecta; Orthoptera; Acrididae
Exons: 3
Source: RefSeq, a predicted model, not a curated record